RNAcentral lists this ribosomal RNA (440 nucleotides) under Cryptomastix devia. RNAcentral's name for it is "partial large subunit ribosomal RNA". It matches the Rfam family "Bacterial large subunit ribosomal RNA", at positions 1809 to 2604 of the family's 2925-position model. The record is from RNAcentral. Lineage: Eukaryota; Metazoa; Mollusca; Gastropoda; Stylommatophora; Polygyridae.
AAAAACAUAACUAUAUGUUUCAUAUAUAGCAAUUUCUGCUCCAUGGAAAACUAAAUAGCCGCAGUACCUUGACUGUGCAAAGGUAGCAUAAUCAGUUGUCUUAUAAUUAAAGUCUAGGAUGAAAGAAAAAAUGAAGGAUUACUGUCUCUUUAGUAAAAGAUGAAGUUACUUAUCAAGUGAAAAUUCUUGAGUAUAUACAUUAGACGAGAAGACCCUGGAAAUUUGUUGUAAGCUCUAUAAGAUACAUUUUGUUGGGGCGACAAAGUAACAAUUUUUAAACUUACUUUUUGAAUGAGACAUUUAUAUAGUGUAUAAUAAAAUUACUCCAGGGAUAACAGCAUAAUAUCUUAAAGUUUGUGACCUCGAUGUUGGACUAGGAAAGGUAAUUAUUUAGAAGAAAAUUAACUACGCUCUGUUCGCGCGGUAAAUUCCUACUUGAU